GAUGAACGCUAGCUACAGGCUUAACACAUGAAAGUCGAGGGGAAACGAUAUUGGAAGCUUGCUUCCGUUAGGCGUCGACCGGCGCACGGGUGAGUAACGCGUAUCCAACCUGCCCAUCACUUGGGGAUAACCUUGCGAAAGUAAGACUAAUACCCAAUGACGUCUCUAGAAGACAUCUGAAAGAGAUUAAAGAUUUAUCGGUGAUGGAUGGGGAUGCGUCUGAUUAGCUUGUUGGCGGGGUAACGGCCCACCAAGGCGACGAUCAGUAGGGGGUCUGAGAGGAAGGUCCCCCACAUUGGAACUGAGACACGGUCCAGACUCCUACGGGAGGAAGCAGUGAGGAAUAUUGGUCAAUGGGCGAGAGCCUGAACCAGCCAAGUAGCGUGCAUGAUGACGGCCCUAUGGGUUGUAAACUGCUUUUAUAAGGGAAUAAAGUGAGCCACGUGUGGCUUUUUGCAUGUACCUUAUGAAUAAGGACCGGCUAAUUCCGUGCCAGCCGCCGCCGUAA
RNAcentral lists this ribosomal RNA (508 nucleotides) under uncultured bacterium. RNAcentral's name for it is "partial 16S ribosomal RNA". It matches the Rfam family "Bacterial small subunit ribosomal RNA", at positions 28 to 523 of the family's 1533-position model. The record is from RNAcentral.